AGUGAACGCUGGCGGUAGGCCUAACACAUGCAAGUCGAACGGCAGCACAGAGGAGCUUGCUCCUUGGGUGGCGAGUGGCGGACGGGUGAGGAAUACAUCGGAAUCUACUCUGUCGUGGGGGAUAACGUAGGGAAACUUACGCUAAUACCGCAUACGACCUACGGGUGAAAGCAGGGGAUCUUCGGACCUUGCGCGAUUGAAUGAGCCGAUGACGGAUUAGCUAGUUGGCGGGGUAAAGGCCCACCAAGGCGACGAUCCGUAGCUGGUCUGAGAGGAUGAUCAGCCACACCGGAACUGAGACACGGUCCAGACUCCUACGGGAGGCAGCAGUGGGGAAUAUUGGACAAUGGGCGCAAGCCUGAUCCAGCCAUACCGCGUGGGUGAAGAAGGCCUUCGGGUUGUAAAGCCCUUUUGUUGGGAAAGAAAUCCAUCUGGUUAAUACCCGGGUGGGAUGACGGUACCCAAAGAAUAAGCACCGGCUAACUUCGUGCCAGCCGCCGCAGUAA
This 506-nucleotide ribosomal RNA is filed under the name uncultured bacterium. RNAcentral's name for it is "partial 16S ribosomal RNA". It matches the Rfam family "Bacterial small subunit ribosomal RNA", at positions 29 to 523 of the family's 1533-position model. The record is from RNAcentral.